RNAcentral lists this transfer RNA (77 nucleotides) under Trueperella pyogenes. Its description in RNAcentral is "tRNA-Met". It matches the Rfam family "tRNA". From Rfam's summary of the family: Transfer RNA (tRNA) molecules are approximately 80 nucleotides in length. Their secondary structure includes four short double-helical elements and three loops (D, anti-codon, and T loops). Lineage: Bacteria; Bacillati; Actinomycetota; Actinomycetes; Actinomycetales; Actinomycetaceae. RNAcentral also lists the same sequence under 4 other names. The record is from RNAcentral.
GGCGAGGUAGCUCAGUUGGUCAGAGCGCACGACUCAUAAUCGUGAGGUCGCGGGUUCAAACCCCGCCCUCGCUACGA